RNAcentral lists this ribosomal RNA (408 nucleotides) under uncultured bacterium. RNAcentral's name for it is "partial 16S ribosomal RNA". It matches the Rfam family "Bacterial small subunit ribosomal RNA", at positions 28 to 526 of the family's 1533-position model. The record is from RNAcentral.
GACGAACGCUGGCGGCGUGCUUAACACAUGCAAGUCGAACGGAGUGGCGAACGGGUGAGUAACACGUGGGUGACCUGCCCUGCACUUCGGGAUAAGCCUGGGAAACUGGGUCUAAUACCGGAUAGUGUGGGAUGGGCCCGCGGCCUAUCAGCUUGUUGGUGGGGUAAUGGCCUACCAAGGCGGCGACGGGUAGCCGGCCUGAGAGGGUGGACGGCCGCAUUGGGGCUGAGUCGCGGACCAGACUCGUACGGGAGGCAGAAGUGAGGAAGAUUGGACAAUGGGCGGAAUACUGAUGAAGGGACGCCGCGUGUGGGAGGACGGGAUUCGGGUUGUAGACGCCUUCCACCAUCGACGCGGUAGAUGGAGAAGAAGCACCGGAUAACUACGUGCCAGCGGCCGCGGUAAUAC